Acanthosepion pharaonis is the source of this 99-nucleotide non-coding RNA. Lineage: Eukaryota; Metazoa; Mollusca; Cephalopoda; Sepiida; Sepiidae. The record is from the annotation of a GenBank genome assembly.
ACGUUGAAUCACCAGUUCUGGUCAGAUCACCGAAGUUAAGCACCAUCGAGCCUGGUCAGUACUUAGAUGGAUGACCGUCUGGGAAUAAAAGGUGCUGUA